CAACAAAACCUAAAACCAAAGAGAGAGCUUUUAAUCCCACUGCAAUAACCAAAAUCAAAAUUCUCCUUCUAAUCUGUUCACGAUACUUUUCCAAUCCGAUUUGUGUGACUUGCGAACAUUUUUCCCGAUUUUUCAAUCGAUUACUCCUCUCACUCAAUUUUGGAUUUGAAAAAUUGGAAUCGCUAAGUUUGUUGCUACGUUUUGGUUCCUGUACAUCACUGUUUUGACAGUUAUGGGUGUGAAGAGGUCACCGAGCAUGUGUGCUUCCAUCGGGAUUCUAAGGAUCGCUUGGCCUUUCGGUGGUAUGAUCUUCGUUCUCAUUUCUACACCGCUGGUAUCUUCGGUAAGUCUAAUCACCUUCUCAAUCUUAUGAUUUCACUCUCUGAUUUUGAAUUUCUUCAGAUUCUUCGUACAUCCUAUCUUUAGCCAGGAACAAAUUAGUGUUUACAAAUGUAUAAGUCGGUAUGAUUCAAUGUUAGUUUCACGGUAGGGAUGGAGACUUCAAAUUUUGUUUCUAUUGGAAGUCUGAUUUUGGGAUGAACUUUUGUUGGGCAUAAGCCGAUGAAAAAUCGAGUACCAGAAAAAUGUUGAAAUCGAUUGUGCGAAGAAACGACGCGGUCACUCGGAUUCAUUAGUGGUUAGUCAUUUGCAUACAAGAUACAUAGUUGAUAUGAGAUCCAUGGACUCCACAGUUUCAAAAUUCAAUCGUCUUCGGGAUGAACAACUAUACUUAAAGCUCCUUCACCUUGUCGAUGCGUAAGCUCAUGGCAGUUGGUGAGAUUUCGACAGUUGGAAGAUGGUGUUAGAUAGUGCUUUCAACUAAUGGAAGAUGGUGUUAUAUAGUGUUUGAGAAACAUGGAGAGAAGAAAAGGAAAGAAGAAGAAAAGAAAGAGAAAGUAGAAGCUGAAUAAAAAGCCGUUAGAAUAAGACGCAACAGUGUAUUUUAUUUGGAAAGAACGAAAUCUCUGUGUGCAUUCCUCUUCCUUUACUUCAUCGGCCCAGAUUAUCAAGAUGGUAAUCAGAGCUCGGAUCAACUCUCUUGGGAUGUCUACUCGUCCCACGCAAUCAUGGCGCCCCCCUCUCCUCCAUACUUGGUUUGAAGUGUUCCAACCAGAGUAUUAGCUCUAUUUCACCUCCUUGUAUUAUUAUAUUACUUCCUUCUUUCUGUUCGGUUGUAUUCGCAGGGUCUGCUGUUUUCUUGUUCGGUUAGGAUGGUGUUCGACCAAUCCUUUGCUUUUUUGGGCCUAUGGUUAUGUUGGACUUUUAAAGCCUUGUAAGCUAAAUUUUAAUUAAUUAAAACAAUAUUAAAAG
Camelina sativa (false flax) is the source of this 1311-nucleotide non-coding RNA. The record is from RefSeq and is a predicted model, not a curated record. NCBI's taxonomy places the organism in Eukaryota, Viridiplantae, Streptophyta, Magnoliopsida, Brassicales, Brassicaceae.